RNAcentral lists this unclassified non-coding RNA (402 nucleotides) under soil metagenome. RNAcentral describes it as "partial contains 5.8S ribosomal RNA, internal transcribed spacer 2, and large subunit ribosomal RNA". The stretch from base 1 to 121 matches the Rfam family "5.8S ribosomal RNA", at positions 35 to 154 of the family's 154-position model. The record is from RNAcentral.
GAUGAAGAACGUAGUGAAAUGCGAUAAGUAAUGUGAAUUGCAGAAUUCAGUGAAUCAUCGAAUCUUUGAACGCACCUUGCACCCUUUGGCUAUUCCGAAGGGUAUGCCUGUUUGAGUAUCAUGAACACCUCAACUCUCAUGGUUUGCCAUGAUGAGCUUGGACUUUGGGGGUCUUGCUGGCCUGUGGUCAGCUCCUCUCAAAUGGAUUAGCUCGCCAGUGUUUGGUGGCAUCACAGGUGUGAUAACUCUCUACGCUUGUGGUUUUCCACCAGGUAACCUUCAGCAAUGGGGGUUCGCUGGUGCUCAUAAAUGUCUCUCCUCAGUGAGGACAGCUCUUUGAACGUUUGAUCUCAAAUCAGGUAGGACUACCCGCUGAACUUAAGCAUAUCAAUAAGCGGAGGA